CGGGGUGUAGCAUAGUUGGCCAAAUGCGCCAGGCUGGGGGUCUGGAGACCGGCGGUUCAAAUCCGCCCACCCCGACCA
RNAcentral lists this transfer RNA (78 nucleotides) under Candidatus Berkelbacteria bacterium. Its description in RNAcentral is "tRNA-Pro". It matches the Rfam family "tRNA". From Rfam's summary of the family: Transfer RNA (tRNA) molecules are approximately 80 nucleotides in length. Their secondary structure includes four short double-helical elements and three loops (D, anti-codon, and T loops). Further hydrogen bonds mediate the characteristic L-shaped molecular structure. tRNAs have two regions of fundamental functional importance: the anti-codon, which is responsible for specific mRNA codon recognition, and the 3' end, to which the tRNAs corresponding amino acid is attached (by aminoacyl-tRNA synthetases). tRNAs cope with the degeneracy of the genetic code in two manners: having more than one tRNA (with a specific anti-codon) for a particular amino acid; and 'wobble' base-pairing, i.e. permitting non-standard base-pairing at the 3rd anti-codon position. The record is from RNAcentral. Lineage: Bacteria; Candidatus Berkelbacteria.